UAACACGCUGCGGUCGUAUUUUUAUUGCCAGUGUUAUUUUAGCUGUACGUGUCAUUAACAAAGGUUAUACUAGAGUGAUGUCCCUUCGCUUAACUGGCUGGAGGGGACCAGCUCUGACGUUUUUGUAUCUUCUGUGGAUCUACGAUGAGUUUUGGUUUCUCCCGUUCAUCUGUAAUGUUUGUUGCACCUUUCGUCUCUGUUGUGGAUUGUUAUUCUGUGCUUGUGCUACGUCAUUACUUACAAUAGACAUCUUCGUCCACUAACGGCUUCCGUCUCAUGUUCUUGCAUUUGUCACCUUGUACCACCUGGCAGAAGGCGAAGACGAUUGCAGCCAUGGCAAACCGACAUGUUAGUACGAAGGUUCAACAUGUCUGAGUACCCUAGUCCUGCUACUGUGGCGAUGCUGAGUAGACGGACACGCAUGAAACAACAAAAGAUUUACCGCUGGUUCGUCAAUCGGCGCUCUGCCCAACGUCGCGCGCAACAUCGCCGUCGCCCUCAACAGCGCCGUCGCCCACCUCGGCCUUGAGGGAUUCUCCGCUUAUGGACAUUUUUGAUCGCAUUUUUAUAAUUAUCUUUUAUCUUUUUUCUAAUUAGUUUUUAUGUAAGUAUAUUGUCUAGGCAAAGAUUUUUUACAACAAAAUUUGUUUACAACAGGAUUUUUGAGUAAUGUUUUAAUUGUUCUGAUCUAUCUUUUUUAUUUUUGUACUCUUUUGAGCAAAUUGUAUUUGAUAAAAAUGUGCAUUAAACAUAUAUAUAUAAGAAUUCGGUGUAAAAUUGUGAGAAAAAAUAGGCUUGUUUCUCUGUAUGUGUGACAAUGUUUACGCAAUGAAAUGUGUUAAUUUGUACCUCAUGGUUUAGAAUAGUCGAUACAAUAUUAUAAUCAGAUAUUUCAGUACACACUUUACCGUGUGCUUUUGAAAUAGUUUUAUUAAAAGAUCUGCAAACAUUUAA
Molecule: long non-coding RNA, 954 nt
Filed under: Pomacea canaliculata
Lineage: Eukaryota; Metazoa; Mollusca; Gastropoda; Architaenioglossa; Ampullariidae
Description: uncharacterized LOC112567343, transcript variant X1
Source: RNAcentral